GGUAUUGUGUCCAUCUACAACUAAAAAUAUAUACAUAUAUAUAUAUAUUUUUUUUAGUUGUAGAUGGACACAAUACC
Molecule: microRNA precursor, 77 nt
Filed under: Marmota monax (woodchuck)
Lineage: Eukaryota; Metazoa; Chordata; Mammalia; Rodentia; Sciuridae
Source: RNAcentral